AUAUAGAUAAAAUUUUCUUCUUUUUUCUCAUUCUGCGGGCCACCCUGCCUGUGCACUGCUGGGCACGGUCUAUGUGUUUGCCCCACCCUCUAUCGGGUGUCCCCUCUAUCUGCUAUACUCUCCACCCACGGUUCCGUCUGCACAAGUCUUACCCUCUGAGGCGUCUCUGACCAUGAGGAAGCAGGCCAAAUUGCAAGCCUCUGGGACAUCAUGGGUGUUACUGUAGCCCACAUGCCUUGCAAGUGUGGUGCAUAUGUGCAUGGCCAGAAAACGCCUGUCAGGUUGGAUAAAAUUUUUGCCUGUGAGUUCCUAUAGUAGGCUAAAUGGUAGCCCUCAAAAAGAUAAGCUUAUAGCAUAAUUAGAGGCCCGGUGCACAAAAUUUGUGCAUGGGUAGGGUCCCUAGGCCUAGCCAGGGAUCAGGGCCGAUUGGAGCCUUCCUUCCCUGGCUGCCAGCUACUGGCUGGGGCCUUCAUUCUGUGCUGCCCCCUGAUGGUCAGCACACAUCAUAGAGAGUGAUUGAACUCCCAGUCUUCGGGUCAAACUUUGUGUAUUAGCCGCUUAUAUAUAUAUAGAUUCCUAGAACAUGUGAAUGUUCUGUUAUUUUGUUUAAAGGGGUCUUUGUAGAUAUAAUUAAGGAUUUUGAGAUGAGGUUAUCCUGGAUUUUCCAGAUAGGCCCUAAAUCUACUGACAGUUGUCUUUAUAAGAGACACAGAAAAGAAGAGGAGGCAAUAUGACCAUGGAUACAGAAAUUGGCGUGAUGCAGUCACAACCCAGGAAUGCUGAUAGCCACUAGGAACUGAAAAAGGCAAAGAACAUAAUCUCUAGAGCCUCUGGAAGGGGUUUGGUCCUCCCAAAAACAUGUUGAUUUGGGUUUCUGGCCUCCAGAAUUAUGAGAAAAUAUUUCUCAUUUUAUGCCACCAAAUUGUGGUAAUUUAUAAAACCAGCCAUCAGAGACUAAUAUGGUACUUUUGUCCUCUGGAGUAAAACAGGUGUUCUGUUUUAGAACUAGUCAUUGCUUAAAUGACUUAAGAAGAAUGCUAGCUAUAUUCAUUUUCUAAUGCUAACCUUAUUGAAUUAAAACAAUAUACAUUCAAGACAGGCUGUGCCCAGAUCAAAAUGACAGAGUAUGUAAGCUCUGUGCUCACCUCCUGCCAUAAUCACAUCAAAAUUACAACUAAAUUAUAGAACAACCAUCACUGAGAACACUUAAAGACUAGCUGAACAGAAUUCCUAUAACUAAGGAUAUAAAGAAGAAGACAUGUUGAGACUGAUGGGAAGGGUUUAGAUGUGGACCAGGCAGGUCUUACAACCGUCAGCACACCUUGUAGCUCUUGCUAAGCGGCCCUAUCCCAACACAAGUGACAUCCAGUCUCAACUUGCAUGGGUAGGGCAUGUAGCACUUUUAUCAGGUGCUACAUAGUGGCAGCCAGUUGUGGCCUGUAACAUAACUUCAACUAAUUGGUCACAAGCCUAGCACAAGUGACAGGUGGCCUCAGUUCACAUUGUACCCACCAAAGGGUUCAAGAAUGACACAAGUAGCAUUCAGUAUCGGUUUGCAGUGUAGCCUCUUCCAAGUGCCUCCUAACCCAGCGAAAGCGACAACCAACUGCAGAUCACUUGCAGCUUUUACCAAGAGGUCCCAAGCCUGGCAUAAGCUGACCUUGGCCUGCACCAGAGCCCCUCCCAAGAGGCUCCAGGACCAACAAACCUGAUGGCUGACUUCAGACCACAUUAGAGUACCACCUAACCAGCUCCACAAAUGAGACACCCAAAGGACAGACUCAGCUGGCACCAGAGACCUGCUAAAGCAACUUCUGCUCUAUGGGGUCAGCCCCAAACAACAGCUUGUCUACUGUAGUCCCGGCCAGCCCGCAUAGCCAGUUAGCAUGAGGAUCAGCCCCACCCACUGACAUGCCAACAGCAGUUGAAGCUCAACUACAAGAGGAGGCCAUACAUGACCCACCUGGCUCAGGUGACCAGGGAGACUGUGUCAGUGAGCUCCACAGAACACCUACAUAAAGCCACUCUGUCAAUACCGGGAGACAUAGCAACUCUACCUAAUACAUAGUAAUAAGCAAAGGGAGUCAGGCAAAAUGACACAAGGACCAUGCUCCAAGUAUGGGACAAAACUCCAAAAAAAGAACUAAAAAAGGAAACAAGGAAUCUACCAGGUACAGAGUUUAAAACACUAGUUAUAAGGAUGCCCAAUGAACUUAAGAAUAGAUGAACUGAGUGAAAACAACCAGUCAGAAAGGAAAAAUGCAAUGAUUAAAAUGAUGAAUUUAUUAAAGGGAAUCAGCAGAUUAUAUGAAACAGGAUUGAAUCAUCAGUCUGGAAGGCUAGGUAGUGGAAAAAAUCCAACAGGACAGCAAAAAGAAAAUAAUUUUAAAAUAAGGAUAGUUUAAGGUACCUCUGGGAGAACAUCAAGUGUUACAAGAUUCAUAUCGUAGGGGUACCAGAAGAGAGAGUAAAGGAAUUGUAAACCUAAUUGAAGAAAUAAUGACUGAAAACUUCCCUAACCUGGGGGAAGAAAUAGACAAGUCCAAGAAGCUUAGAGUCCCAAAGAAGAUGAACCCAGAGGUCCACACCAAGACACAGCAUAAUUAAAAUGGCAAAGGUUAAAUACAAAGAAAGAAUCUUAAAAGCGAUAAAAGAAAAGCAGUUAGUUGCCUACAAGGGAGCCCCCAUAAUACUAUCAGUUGAUUUCUCAGCAGAAACAUUGCAAGCCAGAGGAAAUAUUCAAAGUGAUGAAGAGCAAGGACCUACAACCAAGAUUACCCAGCAAAGCUAUCAUUUAGAAUUAAAGAAAAGAUCAACUGUUUCCCAAGCAAGAAAAAGCUAAAGAAGCUCAUCACUACCAAACUAGAAUUACAAGGAAUGCUGAAGGGUCUGCUUAAAUAAAAAUAAAACCAAACAGUACACAAGUGCCUCAGAAUAAAAAUAGAAUUAUCAUAUGACCCAGUAAUUUCACUUCUAGAUAUUUACCUGAAGAAAUCCAAAACACUAAUUCAAAGAGGUAUAUGUACCCCUAUAUUCAUUGCAGUAUUAUUUACAAUAGUCAAAAUAUGGAAACAAUCUCAGUGCUCACCAAUAGAUGAGUAGAUAAAGAAGAUGUGGCAUAUAUACAAUGGAAUAUUACUCGGCCAUGAAUAAGAAAAUCUUAUAUUUGUGACAAUAUAGAUGGACCUAGAGGAUAUUAUGCUAAGUGAAAAAAGUGAGAAAGAAACACAUAAUUUUGCUUAUAUGUAGAAUCCAAAAAACAAAAUAAAAAAUAUGAACAAAUGAAACAGAAGCAAACAUAUUGAAAGACCAUAUUGAUGGUUGCCAGAAGGGAGGGGAGUUGGAAUGGUUGAAAAAGGUAUCAAGAAAUACAAAUUGUCAGUAAUAAUCAUGAGUAUGUAAAGUACAGCUCAGGGAAUAUAGUUAAUAAUAUGUUAUAACUAUGUAUGGUGUCUGAAGGGUACUAGACUUUCUGGGGUGAUCACCUCGUAAUGUAUGUAAAUGUCUAAUCAUUGUACAUCUGAAACUAAUGUAAUAUUGUAUGUUAACUGUAAUUGAAAAAUAAUUAUUUUUUAAAAAGAGGGGAUUUCUGACCCAUGCCACAAUAUGGGUGAACCUUGAACACAUUAUGCUCAGGGAAAGAAGCCAGAUAGUAUAUAAUUUCACUUGCAUGAGGUACCUGAAAUAGUCAAAUUUGUGAAAAACAGUAAGUAAAAUGAUGGUUCCCAGGAGCUGGGGGUGGGAAUGGGAGUUAUUUAAUGGAUAUAGAAUUUCUGUUUUGCAGGAUGAAAAGAUUUCUGUAGAUGGGUGGUGGUGAUAGUGCACAACAAUGUAUGGCAUACUGCAUACAGAAAACCCUAAGGAUUCCACCAAAAAUCUGCAGGAUAAACAGACUGUGACAAGGGCUGUGAAGAGAUGACACUGGGCAGUGGAUUGCAGCGGCCUGGGUUUGUGCCAGGGCCUCACUGAUCAGCAGAAACCAGUCGUGCAGUCCCAGGUGGUGGGGAUGGAAGCACAGAGUACUUGAGGUGCCUGAGAGAUCGUCCAGUGGUGCUGACUGGGGCCUGCUACUAAGUGAAGCCAGAAGGACAUCUAUGGCAUUUAGGAAGAGGGCACUAGGCCCACAGCCUGUGACAGAAGGCAGAGGAGCAGCUGGAAAGCGUUUCCACCAGGGAAGCUCUGGUGCUGUAAUAGAAAUCAGGUUUAUGUUCUCAUUAAACUCGAGCAACCAUAUCAUAUCUGCAUUUAACUUUGCCAGCGAUCAAGCUCUAGGCCUGAAUGAAACCAAAAAAUAAAAAGUGCAUUUUUUAAAAAGUCAUUUUAUUGUUUGUUGUCCCUACAGCAACUCUCCUCUGAUUUAAAAUCAAGAUUUCCAUGAAAUGUGAUCCUUAUGUUUCUGAUUCAUUUACUGAUCAACUAAUGAUAGUAAAAAUGGCUUUGAAAUGACAACAUUUAGCACAAAGUU
Molecule: long non-coding RNA, 4465 nt
Organism: Myotis daubentonii (Daubenton's bat)
Lineage: Eukaryota; Metazoa; Chordata; Mammalia; Chiroptera; Vespertilionidae
Source: RefSeq, a predicted model, not a curated record